Small nuclear RNA from Sciurus carolinensis (gray squirrel), 104 nucleotides. Lineage: Eukaryota; Metazoa; Chordata; Mammalia; Rodentia; Sciuridae. The record is from RefSeq and is a predicted model, not a curated record.
GUGCUGGUUUCAGCAGCACAUAUACAAAAAUUGGAACAAUGUAGAGAUUAGCAUGACUCCUGCACAAGGAUAACAUGAAAAUUCAUGAAGUGUUCCAUAUUUUG